RNAcentral lists this ribosomal RNA (641 nucleotides) under Sphingobacterium sp. RNAcentral describes it as "bacterial SSU rRNA". It matches the Rfam family "Bacterial small subunit ribosomal RNA", at positions 43 to 674 of the family's 1533-position model. Lineage: Bacteria; Pseudomonadati; Bacteroidota; Sphingobacteriia; Sphingobacteriales; Sphingobacteriaceae. The record is from RNAcentral.
UAGACUAUACAUGCAGUCGGACGGGAUUGGAACCAAGAGCUUGCUCUGAUUCCAGUGAGAGUGGCGCACGGGUGCGUAACGCGUGAGCAACCUACCUCUAUCAGGGGGAUAGCCUCUCGAAAGAGAGAUUAACACCGCAUAAUAUAAUCUUCCGGCAUCGUUAGAUUAUUAAAUAUUUAUAGGAUAGAGAUGGGCUCGCGUGACAUUAGCUAGUUGGUAGGGUAACGGCUUACCAAGGCGACGAUGUCUAGGGGCUCUGAGAGGAGAAUCCCCCACACUGGUACUGAGACACGGACCAGACUCCUACGGGAGGCAGCAGUAAGGAAUAUUGGUCAAUGGGCGGAAGCCUGAACCAGCCAUGCCGCGUGCAGGAUGACUGCCCUAUGGGUUGUAAACUGCUUUUGUCCAGGAAUAAACCUCCUUACGUGUAAGGAGCUGAAUGUACUGGAAGAAUAAGGAUCGGCUAACUCCGUGCCAGCAGCCGCGGUAAUACGGAGGAUCCGAGCGUUAUCCGGAUUUAUUGGGUUUAAAGGGUGCGUAGGCGGCCUAUUAAGUCAGGGGUGAAAUACGGUGGCUCAACCAUCGCAGUGCCUUUGAUACUGAUGGGCUUGAAUCCAUUUGAAGUGGGCGGAAUAAGACAA